AGAAUGGCAAAGGAAAGGCUGGGGACUUCAUGGUUGCAAUGCCCUCUUCUCCCCUGCCAAGAUUUGUUCAUGAGUUGAUGCUGCCCUUCAAACAUACGAGCAAAGGAGCAAGCUUUUAUUGGUGUCUGGUUCGCUGAUGCUAGACGCACCUCAGAUUUCUAUUAUUCUUCUUCUUUCGGAGAGGAUAUAUAUGGUGAGAAA
This 201-nucleotide long non-coding RNA is filed under the name Elaeis guineensis (African oil palm). Its description in RNAcentral is "long non-coding RNA (EGUI_LNC030451)". The record is from RNAcentral. Lineage: Eukaryota; Viridiplantae; Streptophyta; Magnoliopsida; Arecales; Arecaceae.